UAUAAGCGUACCUGCGGUAUACU
This 23-nucleotide non-coding RNA is filed under the name Arabidopsis thaliana (thale cress). The record is from RNAcentral. Lineage: Eukaryota; Viridiplantae; Streptophyta; Magnoliopsida; Brassicales; Brassicaceae.